This 501-nucleotide ribosomal RNA is filed under the name uncultured bacterium. RNAcentral's name for it is "partial 16S ribosomal RNA". It matches the Rfam family "Bacterial small subunit ribosomal RNA", at positions 30 to 523 of the family's 1533-position model. The record is from RNAcentral.
AUUGAACGCUGGCGGCAGGCUUAACACAUGCAAGUCGAGCGGGGGAAGGUAGCUUGCUACCGGACCUAGCGGCGGACGGGUGAGUAAUGCUUAGGAAUCUGCCUAUUAGUGGGGGACAACAUCUCGAAAGGGAUGCUAAUACCGCAUACGUCCUACGGGAGAAAGCAGGGGAUCUUCGGACCUUGCGCUAAUAGAUGAGCCUAAGUCGGAUUAGCUAGUUGGUGGGGUAAAGGCCUACCAAGGCGACGAUCUGUAGCGGGUCUGAGAGGAUGAUCCGCCACACUGGGACUGAGACACGGCCCAGACGCCUACGGGAGGCAGCAGUGGGGAAUAUUGGACAAUGGGGGGAGCCCUGAUCCAGCCAUGCCGCGUGUGUGAAGAAGGCCUUAUGGUUGUAAAGCACUUUAAGCGAGGAGGAGGCUACUCUAGUUAAUACCUAGGGAUAGUGGACGUUACUCGCAGAAUAAGCACCGGCUAACUCUGUGCCAGCAGCCGCAGUAA